AAAGUCGUAACAAGGUCUCCGUAGGUGAACCUGCGGAGGGAUCAUUAACACGUAUCCACGUAAACACCCGUGAAUUGUAUGUUCCACACUUGGAUCCAAACAACGUUAGCAGACUUCGGCGACGCGAUUCUUCGGAAUUGCGUGCCUGCUAACCAGCUUCUUCGGAAGAACGGAUUCCGGUGUGUAGACGCCGUGUGUCGUACCAACUUUUUAACUCAUUGUAAACUAUUCUGUCUAAAUUUCUUGAACAGGCUAACGCCUGCUCUGAAUCAUAAAACUAAAGCACAACUCUUAGCAACGGAUAUCUUGGUUCUC
Molecule: unclassified non-coding RNA, 315 nt
Filed under: Ascomycota sp.
Lineage: Eukaryota; Fungi; Ascomycota
Description: partial contains small subunit ribosomal RNA, internal transcribed spacer 1, and 5.8S ribosomal RNA
Rfam family: Eukaryotic small subunit ribosomal RNA (bases 1-47)
Source: RNAcentral